This 289-nucleotide ribosomal RNA is filed under the name uncultured bacterium. Its description in RNAcentral is "partial 16S ribosomal RNA". It matches the Rfam family "Bacterial small subunit ribosomal RNA", at positions 773 to 1060 of the family's 1533-position model. The record is from RNAcentral.
GUGGAUUAGAUACCCUGGUAGUCCACGCCCUAAACUAUGUCAACUAGUUGUCGGGUCUUAUUAGAUUUGGUAACGUAGCUAACGCGUGAAGUUGACCGCCUGGGGAGUACGGUCGCAAGAUUAAAACUCAAAGGAAUUGACGGGGACCCGCACAAGCGGUGGAUUAUGUGGAUUAAUUCGAUGCAACGCGAAAAACCUUACCUACCCUUGACAUGUCAGAAAGUUUUCAGAGAUGAAAUCGUGCUCGAAAGAGAAUCUGAACACAGGUGCUGCACGGCGGUCGCCAGCU